This is an RNA transcript of Brassica rapa (field mustard), 3419 nucleotides long. It is a transcript of the gene named root meristem growth factor 9-like, with no coding region annotated. The record is from RefSeq and is a predicted model, not a curated record. Lineage: Eukaryota; Viridiplantae; Streptophyta; Magnoliopsida; Brassicales; Brassicaceae.
CCAUAUGUCUCAAUAACUUCCAAAACGUUCUUAAAUUCUGAUAUAAUAUAUGGGACCAUAAGCUCAUCACAGAAUCUUUCAUCUUGUAUAUAUAAACACAAAAAGGUUCAAUAAAAAACAUAUAGCCAGAGAGAAAUAAACUAAGUCACUUCUAAAAAUGGCAGUUAGGGUUUAUUACAAGCAACUCCUCCUGGCAUUUCUUCUCAUCAUCUUAAUGUAUUCUCCUGCUCAAGCACAAAACACGGGAGAAAUCGUGAGGAAUAGAAAGCUAUUGGUUGUGGAGAAGGAGCCGGAGACUCAGAACUCAAGGCAAGACGGAGGAAAUGAUGGUUAUGGAUUGGUGGAUAUGGAUUAUAAUAGUGCGAACAAGAAAAGACCGAUACACAACCGCUAAUUAAUAAACACAUGUGAUGAAUUUAUCAAUUUCUUGUGAGAUAUCCCAAGAUUCUAUGAUAUCCCGAGAUUUAUAUAAUAUAUUCAACAGAAAUACUAUCAAGUAUCGGGAACUGAAAUAUUUUAUGAAUAAAAAUUAUAAAAUAUUAGUAAUCGAGUUGGUAUACAUGUAAUUUAGUAUAAUCGAGUUUAUAUAAACAUAAAAAUACAAACGAUUCUGUAUAAUAAUCAUAGUUUGUGUGUGUGUUAUAUCAUGGGUUUCGGUUUGUGAAUGAAUGUCAAUGAAUAUACUUCUUUUAUAUUGAACUAAUCAAUGGAUAUACAUAUUUUGUGUAUAUACUAUAUAUACUCUUAAUAUCUUAUGUUAAGUUUAAUGAUACAUUGUCUAUAUAAUUAUAUGUGUUGAUAAUUGAAUCGAUCAUCGUUUAUAAUACUAUAAACUCAAAUAUUUAUAAUAAUAUACCAAACAUAUUAUAUUUUUUUGUUAUAUUUUUAAUACAAACAACAAGAAACAAACAACAUGAAAACAUUAGCUCAACGGUAACUGAUCAUGCCCAUUGUGUGAGAAGUCUUUGGUCUGACUGAUUGUUUGGACAGAAUUAAUAUUACAUGAUGUUGUGGUUUUAGGCAUAGAGGAUUACAGACUUUGAUCCCGAAUUUUAUGGUAUUCAAAAAGGAUAAUAUAACAAACAACAAACAAAAAAAAUACUAAUAUAAACAACUUUCUAAUGAAUAAGCCUUGUAUGAAAAUAAUAUCAGAGAUCUAGAGAAUACUCGUCCACCAAUGCACAUAUAAACGUGUUAGAAUUCACGAGACUCACUUUAUAUCCCAAAUUCGAUGAUUCUAGUGAUCAUCAAUACUUUUUUCACAUGACAAACUGAGAUGCAAAACGCAAUAAAUUCAUGUGUUAUGUAUGAAAUAGACAUCAUAUCGAAAACGAACAAAGUAAAUCAACAAACUCAUGUGGAACCUAGUAGGCUAUAACCAAAAAUACAUAUUAUCUCGGCCCAUUAAAUAAACAUAUUAUCUCAGCCCGUUAAGUAAACGUAAUAUCGACCCAUUAAAUAAACGUAUUAUCUCGAAAUCUUUUUCUUAGUUGAUCCGUGUAAUUUGAUUGCGAACGAACUGGUACUAUGGCAAAAACUGAGAAGAUUGAAUUCGUCCUUGAACAAGUAAGACCUUGUGUUAUUUUCUCCAAAUCCUUGGCUAUGUGUUUUGUUUGUACUUUGCUGGUGCUAAUUGUUAGUGAUCUGAACUCCUCAAGGUCCGCUUGUGCUUGGAUCGACCGUGCACAAAUCCUAUCUAGGAAGAUGCUAGAGAUCUAUUGAUUCUGAGUGUAUUUAACGCAGGUACCACCAAAGAUAAAAAGAAACUAAGGAAGAUGAGAACAUUGUAGAAGCGGCUCCAGCUGAUAUACCAACAUUGUUGGAGCUAAAGCAGAUUUUACUUUUAUGCCCAACAUUGAGGCAUAUAAGUUUGAACACCAAUCUAAAUGUAACCAGCUAUAUGUUUGAAAAAAUUUCUUCAUAUUGGUUCAUUAUAUUUCAGGAAGCAGAGAAGCAUCUAUCAGAGAUGGUUGUGUGAUAUCAAAAAUCGUCAGACCAUCAGGAAUAGUCUGAUCGUUAAAGAUAGCAACGAAAUUCUAAAGUCAUGGGCAUCAAACUUGGAGAAGCUUUUAGAUCUUGGUGAGAAGAGUUGUCACCAAAUUCACAAAGAAACUAUGAUUCAUAAAGCUGGCACUAAGAGCUUGAGAAACCGUUAGCCACACACCCUCAUAUUGGAAAGAAUCUUUCAGGUUCUGUCCUAAAAAUUCUUCAUUUAACUUUUGUUGUAUUUGUUUGGUUCAGAUAACAGAGUUAAAAAAAACUCUUCUUACUUUUUACAACAAAUUUAUUAUUAUGCAAAAAAAAAAAGAAGAUAAAAUGUUGAAAAAAACAGGAAAAACAUGCAAGGCAGAAAGAAGCAAUACAAACCUAAACCUAAACCCUACAACAAGCAAUGAUCAUUCUCUUUUCUAUUUAGCUCUAUAUAGUUAAAAGAAAAGGAAAUGAAGCAAUUCCAUUAGGAGGAUGAACUAUUAUUGUAAUUAUGAUUACUUGUCUUGUCUGGUGACCAUUGUAUGUCCUGGAGAUAACCGGUUUCACUCGGUUGAACCGCUGCUGGAGAAAACAGAGGACGAGAAUGAGAAGAUGAUGACGAAGUGGAUUGCAUCAUUGAGUCUCCGGUGUAACCAAAACGCAACGGAAACGACAUUUGAUCGUACAAAUCCAUAGUUUGUUGAUUAUGUUGCUGAAACUGUUGUUGGUGGCGAGCCAUCUCUGAGUAACUCAAGUUAUACGGUUGAAUCAACGGCUGAGAGUCAACGGCAGGUCUUAGGGGCAAAAGAGUACUGGGAAGUUGAGUUUGGCUUUGUUGCCUCUGAACCGAAGAGCAGCUUCAUCGUAAGCUCUUGCAGCUGAUUCAGCGUUGUCGAACGUACCGAGCCAAACUCUAGCAGCUUUGAAAGGAUCUCGAAUUUCAGCCGCCCAUUUUCCCCACGGUCUUUGUCUCACUCCUCUGUAUCUUCUUCGAGGUUGUUGGUCCCCAUUUAACGACGACGUUUCGGUGUUAGUAGUUGUUGUAGUUGUGUACUCAUAUGUUGGGCCUGAACCUGACAUGUUGCUCGAAGCUUCUCUCACUGCAAACAAACAAACGUAUAAAAUAAGCAGUAGUAUAAAAUAAAAUUGAAUGUCUCGAAUAAUGUUAUUAUAAAAGAAAGUCCUUAUAAGAGUUGAUGAUUAUGAGAAAGUGAUGAGGCCACAAAGAGCAAUGAACAAGUAGUAAAAAGUAAAGCAAGUGGAAAACGACCCUUGAGGCAAAUGGAGGGAGAUAGAUUCUUUUGGGGCCUUUGGCAUAUAAUCAUAUCAUCAUUUUGUUAAAUAAAUACAUUGACCUUUUUAUUAUAAUUCUAAAGUAUAUAUGUCUUAGGAUAAUCAAGUACACUUUCGUUAUUUGUUAGUAUUUUAAAAUAUGUUGUCAACGCUUU